AGUGAACGCUGGCGGUAGGCCUAACACAUGCAAGUCGAACGGCAGCACAGUAAGAGCUUGCUCUUACGGGUGGCGAGUGGCGGACGGGUGAGGAAUACAUCGGAAUCUACUUUUUCGUGGGGGAUAACGUAGGGAAACUUACGCUAAUACCGCAUACGACCUACGGGUGAAAGCAGGGGAUCUUCGGACCUUGCGCGAUUGAAUGAGCCGAUGUCGGAUUAGCUAGUUGGCGGGGGAAAGGCCCACCAAGGCGACGAUCCGUAGCUGGUCUGAGAGGAUGAUCAGCCACACUGGAACUGAGACACGGUCCAGACUCCUACGGGGGGCAGCAGUGGGGAAUAUUGGGCAAUGGGCGCAAGCCUGAUCCAGCCAUACCGCGUGGGUGAAGAAGGCCUUCGGGUUGUAAAGCCCUUUUGGUGGGAAAGAAAAGCAGCAGGUUAAUACCCCGCUGUUCUGACGGUACCCAAAGAAUAAGCACCGGCUAACUUCGUG
This 492-nucleotide ribosomal RNA is filed under the name uncultured bacterium. RNAcentral describes it as "partial 16S ribosomal RNA". It matches the Rfam family "Bacterial small subunit ribosomal RNA", at positions 29 to 507 of the family's 1533-position model. The record is from RNAcentral.